Ailuropoda melanoleuca (giant panda) is the source of this 1397-nucleotide long non-coding RNA. RefSeq lists it as uncharacterized. The record is from RefSeq and is a predicted model, not a curated record. The transcript is spliced from 2 exons. NCBI's taxonomy places the organism in Eukaryota, Metazoa, Chordata, Mammalia, Carnivora, Ursidae.
CUCAUAGCGGAGGAGCCUGAUGUGGGUCUCCAUAACGGCGGGAUCACGCCCUGAGCCGAAGAGCUACCAACUCACACAGAAGUGGUGGGGGAGCUUGCCUGCAGUGGGUCCUUCCCGGCAACCCUCCUCUCCCACUCGGAACUCUAGUUGAGGAGCUGCCCCUGGCAAGCUGUGCUUAGUUCUCCUCCUUCCUCUUGGUCAUCAGUAUUUCCCUCCCUGAUCCCAAACAUGCCAGUCCCCACCUUCACAAUCAGUACCUGGGCAUGGAUAGUUCUAGGGUCAGAAUAUUGGAGCUGGGAAGGACUCCAGGAGAUCGAGGACACUGAAAAUCUCAUAGACAAAAGAAUCCUGUUCUUGAGGUGAAAUAGCUAGACUGCGGGCAGAGCUGUCAGUGAAACGGACUCUGAGCCAGGACUUUUUCUACCCUGCUAGCUCUGUUUACCACACUAUGAGAUCAAGUUUUUGCCUCUCUGCUUACUUCCACAAUAUGUUGAGAAAGGGUGCUUCUCCCCUUCUCUGAUGGGGAUGAUGUUGUGGUGAUCAUGAUAAUAUUUGAGGUUUUUUUUUUCCCCCAGUCGUAGGCAUUUAAUCAUAGUAUUUCAUUGAAUUGUUAUACUAACCAACAAGGUAGCUCUUACUCAUUACUAAGGUUUGUCCACUAGCUUUUCAUGCUGCUAACUAUUUUAGUCUCCCUAAAAAUACCCCAAGAACGACAGGAUUCAUUUCAAAAUAAGUUACAGUAAUUUGCAAAGAGAGAGUUCGGGAAGUACGUAUCUGCACUUCUCAAAGCUGACAACUCUUUACUUCUUGUUUCCAAGGGGUGGGAAGAUACUGCAAUUGGGGAGGCAACCUGUCUAUUUCUGGUAGUGAUCCAACAUACAUAGCCUUCAGAGACUUCCUAAGUUUCCUCCUUCCUUUUCUCUAAAUCCCAGCAUGUUUUCCAACUGCAUUUAUUUUACUGCUUUGAGGAGGCUGGGAUAUCUGGGAGUGUGUUUCCUUUAAGGAAGGAUGAAGUAAGAAUAUAAUGCAAAUACUCAGAGGUAUUUCCUUUAUUUUUACAUUUGGAAAUGGUUACAUUUGAUAUGAUUAAUUUGGAAAGAGGUGGUAAUUCAUUGGCAUAUGUGGGAAUAUAAAAAUUACUACCAUCUUUGAGCACUAACUAUGGGCCAGACAUGGUGUAAGGUAUGUUACCAUAUCUAUCAUUCUCCCAGUAGAUGUAGAGAUAGGCAUUAUUAUUUGAAUUUCUCAAAAGAAGAAACCUGAAUCUCUGAGAGGUUAAGGAAUUUUCCCAAGGUCACAUAGGAAGUGGAAAUGUUGAGUAUGGGACUCAGGAUAAUCCAACUUGAAAAUCCAUGUACUUUCCAUAUGUUACUAUUAAAAAUUUUUUGUUUAGGAAA